This 191-nucleotide ribosomal RNA is filed under the name uncultured bacterium. RNAcentral's name for it is "partial 16S ribosomal RNA". It matches the Rfam family "Bacterial small subunit ribosomal RNA", at positions 328 to 540 of the family's 1533-position model. The record is from RNAcentral.
ACGCUCGACACCUACGGGAGCAGCAGUGGGGAAUAUUGCACAAUGGGGGAAACCCUGAUGCAGCGACGCCGCGUGAGCGAAGAAGUAUCUCGGUAUGUAAAGCUCUAUCAGCAGGGAAGAAAAUGACGGUACCUGACUAAGAAGCACCGGCUAAAUACGUGCCAGCAGCUGACGUAUNGNGCGGNNGANAG